RNAcentral lists this ribosomal RNA (253 nucleotides) under uncultured bacterium. RNAcentral's name for it is "partial 16S ribosomal RNA". It matches the Rfam family "Bacterial small subunit ribosomal RNA", at positions 524 to 776 of the family's 1533-position model. The record is from RNAcentral.
UACGAAGGGUGCAAGCGUUACUCGGAAUUACUGGGCGUAAAGCGUGCGUAGGUGGUUCGUUAAGUCUGAUGUGAAAGCCCUGGGCUCAACCUGGGAAUGGCAUUGGAUACUGGCGGACUGGAGUGCGGUAGAGGAUGGCGGAAUUCCCGGUGUAGCAGUGAAAUGCGUAGAGAUCGGGAGGGACAUCUGUGGCGAAGGCGGCCAUCUGGACCAGCACUGACACUGAGGCACGAAAGCGUGGGGAGCAAACAGG